CCUACGGGGUGCAGCAGUAGGGAAUCUUUCACAAUGGGCGAAAGCCUGAUGGAGCAACGCCGCGUGCAGGAUGAAGGCCUUCGGGUUGUAAACUGCUUUUAUAAGCGAGAAAUAUGAUGGUAACUUAUGAAUAAGGAUCGGCUAACUACGUGCCAGCAGCCGCGGUCAUACGUAGGAGCCGAGCAUUAUCCGGAGUAACUGGGUGUAAAGAGUUGCGUAGGUGGCAUAAUAAGUAGCUAGUGAAAUCUGGUGGCUCAACCAUUCAGACUAUUAGCUAAACUGUUAAGCUCGAGACCGUUAGGGGUAACUGGAAUUUCUAGUGUAGGAGUGAAAUCCGUAGAUAUUAGAAGGAACACCAAUAGCGUAGGCAGGUUGCUGGGACGGUUCUGACACUAAGGCACGAAAGCGUAGGGAGCAAACGGGAUUAGAUACCCCAGUAGUC
RNAcentral lists this ribosomal RNA (442 nucleotides) under uncultured bacterium. Its description in RNAcentral is "partial 16S ribosomal RNA". It matches the Rfam family "Bacterial small subunit ribosomal RNA", at positions 338 to 795 of the family's 1533-position model. The record is from RNAcentral.